RNAcentral lists this ribosomal RNA (238 nucleotides) under uncultured bacterium. Its description in RNAcentral is "partial 16S ribosomal RNA". It matches the Rfam family "Bacterial small subunit ribosomal RNA", at positions 100 to 334 of the family's 1533-position model. The record is from RNAcentral.
CCGGCACGGGUGAGUAACACGUAUGCAAUCCACCUGUAACAGGGGAGUAACCGGAGAAAUCCGACUAAUACCCAUAAUAUGGGCGCUCCGCAUGGAGAGCCCAUUAAAGAGAGCAAUUUUGGUUACAGACGAGCAUGCGCUCCAUUAGCCAGUUGGCGGGGUAACGGCCCACCAAGGCGACGAUGGAUAGGGGUUCUGAGAGGAAGGUCCCCCACAUUGGAACUGAGACACGGUCCAA